This 445-nucleotide ribosomal RNA is filed under the name uncultured Gordonia sp. RNAcentral describes it as "bacterial SSU rRNA". It matches the Rfam family "Bacterial small subunit ribosomal RNA", at positions 338 to 795 of the family's 1533-position model. Lineage: Bacteria; Bacillati; Actinomycetota; Actinomycetes; Mycobacteriales; Gordoniaceae. The record is from RNAcentral.
CCUACGGGGGGCUGCAGUGGGGAAUAUUGCACAAUGGGCGCAAGCCUGAUGCAGCGACGCCGCGUGGGGGAUGACGGCCUUCGGGUUGUAAACUCCUUUCGCCAGGGACGAAGCGCAAGUGACGGUACCUGGAGAAGAAGCACCGGCCAACUACGUGCCAGCAGCCGCGGUAAUACGUAGGGUGCGAGCGUUGUCCGGAAUUACUGGGCGUAAAGAGCUCGUAGGCGGUUUGUCGCGUCGUCUGUGAAAUCCUGCAACUGAAGUGUAGGCGUACAGGCGAUACGGGCAGACUUGAGUACUACAGGGGAGACUGGAAUUCCUGGUGUAGCGGUGAAAUGCGCAGAUAUCAGGAGGAACACCGGUGGCGAAGGCGGGUCUCUGGGUAGUAACUGACGCUGAGGAGCGAAAGCGUGGGGAGCGAACAGGAUUAGAUACCCUUGUAGUC